Molecule: ribosomal RNA, 339 nt
Filed under: uncultured bacterium
Lineage: Bacteria
Description: bacterial SSU rRNA
Rfam family: Bacterial small subunit ribosomal RNA
Source: RNAcentral
GUGAGUAGUUCAGAGUUUGAUCCUGGCUCAGGACGAACGCUGGCGGCGUGCCUAACACAUGCAAGUCGAACGGGGUAGAGAGCUUCGGUUUUCUACUUAGUGGCGAACGGGUGAGUAACGCGUGAAGAACCUGCCUUUCAGUGGGGGACAACAGUUGGAAACGACUGCUAAUACCGCAUAAUGUUAUUUGAGGGCAUUCUCGGAUAACCAAAGCUUUAUGUGCUGAAAGAUGGCUUCGCGUCUGAUUAGCUAGAUGGCGGGGUAACGGCCCACCAUGGCGACGAUCAGUAGCCGGACUGAGAGGUUGAACGGCCACAUUGGGACUGAGACACGGUCCAG